This 85-nucleotide transfer RNA is filed under the name Chloroflexota bacterium. RNAcentral describes it as "Chloroflexi bacterium (oil production facility metagenome) tRNA-Leu". It matches the Rfam family "tRNA". Rfam says of the family: Transfer RNA (tRNA) molecules are approximately 80 nucleotides in length. Their secondary structure includes four short double-helical elements and three loops (D, anti-codon, and T loops). The record is from RNAcentral. Lineage: Bacteria; Bacillati; Chloroflexota.
GCCGAGGUGGCGGAAUUGGCAGACGCGCCACGUUCAGGGCGUGGUGGGUAUUAGACCCAUGUGGGUUCGAGUCCCACCCUCGGCA